RNAcentral lists this ribosomal RNA (506 nucleotides) under uncultured bacterium. RNAcentral's name for it is "bacterial SSU rRNA". It matches the Rfam family "Bacterial small subunit ribosomal RNA", at positions 39 to 525 of the family's 1533-position model. The record is from RNAcentral.
AAGAGCCGCAGAUAAAAACAUGCAAGUCGCACGAGAAAGGGCCUCGGCCCCCGCCAAGUGGGGCCGGGCGCGUAACACAUGGGUAAUCUGCCCUCUGCGGGGGAUAACAUUCCGAAAGGAGUGCUAAUACCGCUAAGACCACAGCUUCAUAAGGAGCUGAGGACAAAGCUGGCCUUUAUAUAUAAGCUAGGACUUGAUGAUGAGCCCCCGGACCAUUAGGUGGUUGGGGGGGGAAUGGCCUACCAAGCCGAAGACGGGUAGCUGGUCUGAGAGGAUGAUCAGCCACACUGGAACUGAGACACGGUCCAGACUCCUACGGGAGGCAGCAGUGGGGAAUCUUGCGCAAUGGACGAAAGUCUGACGCAGCGACGCCGCGUGGGUGAUGAAGGCCUUCGGGUUGUAAAGCCCUGUGGGGAGAGACGAAUAAGUGCCGCCUAAUACGUUGCAUGAUGACGGUAUCUCCUUAGCAAGCACCGGCUAACUCUGUGCCAGCAGCCGCGGUAAUU